UUUCCGUAGGUGAACCUGCGGAAGGAUCAUUACUGAAGACAUAGGGCUUGAGAAUGCGUCCAAAAUGGCGCAUGCUCAACCCUUACUCUUUCAUCCACACACACCUUUGUGCACCAUGGGAACGAAAAAGUUCCCCUUUUCACAUAAAUACCAAGUUAUAUGCAUGUUUUUAUACACUCUACGGAGUAAUGUACAACUUUCAACAACGGAUCUCUUGGCUUUCGCAUCGAUGAAGAACGCAGCGAACGUGCGAAACGUAAUGUGAAUUGCAGAAUUCAGUGAAUCAUCGAAUCUUUGAACGCAUCUUGCGCUCCUUGGUAUUCCGAGGAGCAUGCCUGUUUGAGUGUCACGAAUAACUCUCAACUUCAAUCUUUUUUGAUUGAAAUUGGACUUGGGUGUUGUUGUGGGGUAUCAUUACAACUCAUCCUAAAUGCAUUAGCGAUCUGCCUACGAUCACACGCAAUGUGAUAAGAAAAAGCAUUGUUGGGAUCGAUUUAGGUUGCUUCUAACCGUCGAAAGACAAGCAUAUAUCAUGUCGUUUGACCUCAAAUCAGUAAGAUUAACCCGCUGAA
This 572-nucleotide ribosomal RNA is filed under the name Geastrum sp. TNS KH-JPN10-747. RNAcentral's name for it is "eukaryotic LSU rRNA". The stretch from base 195 to 349 matches the Rfam family "5.8S ribosomal RNA". Lineage: Eukaryota; Fungi; Basidiomycota; Agaricomycetes; Geastrales; Geastraceae. The record is from RNAcentral.